RNAcentral lists this unclassified non-coding RNA (18 nucleotides) under Chlamydomonas reinhardtii. RNAcentral describes it as "small RNA Cre_3139". Lineage: Eukaryota; Viridiplantae; Chlorophyta; Chlorophyceae; Chlamydomonadales; Chlamydomonadaceae. The record is from RNAcentral.
UGCGUGAGGUCAUCGGUU